CAAAGGGUCACAAGAUAAAUCUGAGGGAUUGUGAGAUGGUUAAUGGGAGAGGAAAGAAGAAAAAACAGUCCUAAAUGAAAAUAUGUGAGACGUUUAGAGUGGAAAUCACUAUUUUGUGGAACUGCUAACAUCUCAUAGACAUCUGAAGGGGCCACAACUAGACACUUUUUCAAAAAGGUUGGGAACAAUACUUAAAAUAAUACAAUAUGUUGUUAAUCUUUAACAGUGUGUUGUAUUUUAUAAACUUAUCAUAUGUUUUGUAUGUAAGAAUUUAAUCUGAAAAGUAACUAUAAAUAAAGCUGACAAAUAAAUAGAGUGGAGUAAAAAGUAUUAGGCCUAUAUUUCCUCCUGAAAUGUAGUGGAAUAGAAGUAUAAACUAGCAGUCACUCAGCACCACAGCAACCACCUUGGGCCCAAUGAAUAGUGCUAUAACAAGUAGCAAGUAGCCUUCUGUUAAACCAACUGUGACACAGAAAGUGAACAACAACACUGAUAGUUUUCCAUUAAAAGUCAAAUGACCAACAAGAGUUAGUAAAUUAAAGUCUCCUACAUUUAACAAACAAGCCACUACGUGAAUGUGUAUGUAUUUUGUUUGUAGAAAACUGAGGCAAUUCAUUGCAGCAGAGGGAAUG
Molecule: long non-coding RNA, 632 nt
Organism: Siniperca chuatsi (mandarin fish)
Lineage: Eukaryota; Metazoa; Chordata; Actinopteri; Centrarchiformes; Sinipercidae
Exons: 2
Source: RefSeq, a predicted model, not a curated record